RNAcentral lists this ribosomal RNA (253 nucleotides) under uncultured bacterium. RNAcentral's name for it is "partial 16S ribosomal RNA". It matches the Rfam family "Bacterial small subunit ribosomal RNA", at positions 524 to 776 of the family's 1533-position model. The record is from RNAcentral.
UACGUAGGGGGCAAGCGUUGUCCGGAUUUAUUGGGCGUAAAGAGCGUGUAGGCGGUUUGGUAGGUCCGCUGUGAAAACUCGAGGCUCAACCUCGAGACGCCGGUGGAAACCAUCAGACUAGAGUCCGGAAGAGGAGAGUGGAAUUCCAGGUGUAGCGGUGAAAUGCGUAGAUAUCUGGAGGAACACCGGUGGCGAAGGCGGCAUUCUGGACCAUAACUGACACUGAGAGACGAAAGCCAGGGGAGCAAACGGG